CGAAGUUUAUCGAGUACGAACGAUUGAGCGAUCGGCGGACUAAAUUGGACGAAAGAAGAGUUUGGAACUAAAGCAUGAGGAGGUGGCAUCUUUAAGGAUUAAAGUGGAACAUUUACCAUCAAUAUAUAAGAAUUUUAAGUUGAUAUUCAAACUCAGAAUAUCAAUUGAAUUCAGCAAGCUAAAAUUCGCAACUCUCCUCUCUUGAAGGUGAAACAUGCACAAAUUUUCAAUCAAGCAUAACUUCUUCGUUUUUGAUCCGAUUGAGGCGAUUCUUGCGGCCACGGAACGAGGGGAACGAGCUCUACACAUCUAUCCAUAUUAAUUAAGGUGAUAAUUAAGCUUGAAAUGGAUAAUAUGAAUGGUGAAUUCAAGCUUGGGCCUUCGGUUUUGGUCCUCCAUCAAGACUUGAAGAGGCGAUUACCAAUGGAACCCGGAACUUACAAAAUGCAAUAUCGCUUAGCUGUUAUCGAAGGAUAUGGAUAGCAAGCGUGUGUUUUUCAGGUGCCUAGAUUCUAGACGUGGCUAGAAGUCCGUCUUUGACCGGAAGUCCCUUUGGCUAUGUACAAUCCCGACUUCCAUAAUUGCUGCAGUAGUGUGAUGACUGACCAGUGUCGUGGUCUAUUACAGUAGUGAAAUUUUAUAUGGUUUAUAGUUGUUGUCUGUUGUGUACAUGUUGGUCUGGCUACGAUAGUAAUGUAUUGUACCACGGAGGUAAAUUCCCGUGAUGUAAUUUCGACAUAAUGGUUUAUGCCGGGCUAGUACGUACAUGAUACGGAAACGAUAAGUCCGAGCACGUUGUAUGGUGUUACCAGUGUAUAUAAAUGUAUCUUUGUUUAAAUGCUGUGUUUGUGAA
Molecule: long non-coding RNA, 853 nt
Organism: Mercurialis annua (annual mercury)
Lineage: Eukaryota; Viridiplantae; Streptophyta; Magnoliopsida; Malpighiales; Euphorbiaceae
Exons: 4
Source: RefSeq, a predicted model, not a curated record